Molecule: long non-coding RNA, 439 nt
Filed under: Ornithorhynchus anatinus (platypus)
Lineage: Eukaryota; Metazoa; Chordata; Mammalia; Monotremata; Ornithorhynchidae
Description: lncRNA (ENSOANG00000043125.1)
Source: RNAcentral
UUGAGGGUAACUGAAGUUCACCGUGGCCAAAAGCUUAAUGGUUAUUGUUCUUCAGCAGAGAUGAUUGGUUCCCUGUCCAAUGAAGAACCAGUAGAGUGAUGGAGUAGCAUGAGGUGAUGUGACUGGCAGACAUAUCAGGUGUCAAUUCCAUUAAAUAAUGGACUAGUUUCCUAGCUACCGGAGUUGAUUUUCCUGCCACCCUCAUCCCAUGGGUCUCCUGAAACUAUCUGCAAUUGGGCCACUACUACACCGAAGCAAAAUUUUUAAGAUUCCGCUGGAGUCAUCUAAUCCCUUGAACCAGAGUGCAAGCCACACCGCUUCUCAUAUCAGUGCUACAUUCUGCUUUGAAUCUUCCAGAGAAAACAGUAGCCUUUUAGAUUUGGCUGUCCAACUCUAUCAUUGUGUUUGUGCAGAGAGAGAUGAUUCAGAAAGAAACCAG